UAAUCUCACUACGAUCGACUUUUGUCUUUCUGUAUGUGGACUUGGAUGUUGCCGUGAAUAACAAAUGGCUCGUCUGAAAUGCCUGAGUGUACCCCGCUUUGCGGCGUAUUCGGUGUGAUACAUCUUCACCGGAGUUGAUUCUUUAUGGGUCGCGUCUGUAACGAGUGUGGCUCUAUGCUUCAAACCGUCUUCUGAUUGAGACAAUCUCUGACA
This 213-nucleotide unclassified non-coding RNA is filed under the name uncultured Sebacinales. RNAcentral describes it as "sequence contains ITS2". The record is from RNAcentral. Lineage: Eukaryota; Fungi; Basidiomycota; Agaricomycetes; Sebacinales.